AUUGAACGCUGGCGGCAGGCCUAACACAUGCCAGUCGAGCGGAUGAAGGGAGCUUGCUCCUGGAUUCAGCGGCGGACGGGUGAGUAAUGCCUAGGAAUCUGCCUGGUAGUGGGGGAUAACGUCCGGAAACGGGCGCUAAUACCGCAUACGUCCUGAGGGAGAAAGUGGGGGAUCUUCGGACCUCACGCUAUCAGAUGAGCCUAGGUCGGAUUAGCUAGUUGGUGGGGUAAAGGCCUACCAAGGCGACGAUCCGUAACUGGUCUGGGAGGAUGAUCAGUCACAAUGGAACUGAGACACGGUCCAGACUCCUACGGGAGGCAGCAGUGGGGAAUAUUGGACAAUGGGCGAAAGCCUGAUCCAGCCAUGCCGCGUGUGUGAAGAAGGUCUUCGGAUUGUAAAGCACUUUAAGUUGGGAGGAAGGGCAGUAAGUUAAUACCUUGCUGUUUUGACGUUACCAACAGAAUAAGCACCGGCUAACCUCGUG
RNAcentral lists this ribosomal RNA (484 nucleotides) under uncultured bacterium. Its description in RNAcentral is "partial 16S ribosomal RNA". It matches the Rfam family "Bacterial small subunit ribosomal RNA", at positions 30 to 507 of the family's 1533-position model. The record is from RNAcentral.